GUCCCGAUAGUAUAUAAUAUUACUUUGGUCUUGUAAACCAAAAAUGAAGAUAAUUUCUUCUCAGGACA
This 68-nucleotide transfer RNA is filed under the name Sundamys muelleri (Mueller's giant Sunda rat). Its description in RNAcentral is "tRNA-Thr". Lineage: Eukaryota; Metazoa; Chordata; Mammalia; Rodentia; Muridae. The record is from RNAcentral.